This 138-nucleotide small nucleolar RNA is filed under the name Ornithorhynchus anatinus (platypus). The record is from RNAcentral. Lineage: Eukaryota; Metazoa; Chordata; Mammalia; Monotremata; Ornithorhynchidae.
UGCCUCUCAGGGUCACACCUGGAGAGUCUCCAGUACUCUACCAGUCUCGACUACGGGAGGGAGAGUCAAGUAGAGGACUACCCAUUCCAUUCCUAGCUUGGGCAGUGGCUAGCGAAUGGAAGGCAAUCUGCUACAAGU